CGGCCGAUGAUGUCGUGCAAUUGCUUUAUACGUCGGGCACAACAGGUGAGCCCAAGGGGGUGAUGCAUACAGGCAAUACGUUGCUGAACAGCGUGCGAUAUUUUGAGGAUCGCGUCCGUCUCACAGCCAACGAUGUCGUGCUGAUGGCCUCGCCGAUGGCCCANNNACCGGUUUUCUCGUCGGCCUGCUGCUGCCGCUGUAUCUGGGAGGACGGGUCAUUCUUCAGGAUAUCUGGAAUCCAGCCAAGGCGGUCGAUAUUGUCGAGACAGAGCGCGUGACGAUGACCAUGGCAUCGACGCCGUUUCUGGCGGAUUU
This 315-nucleotide unclassified non-coding RNA is filed under the name Hevea brasiliensis (rubber tree). Lineage: Eukaryota; Viridiplantae; Streptophyta; Magnoliopsida; Malpighiales; Euphorbiaceae. The record is from RNAcentral.